UACGUAGGGUGCGAGCGUUGUCCGGAAUUAUUGGGCGUAAAGGGCUCGUAGGCGGUUUGUCACGUCGGGAGUGAAAACUCGGGGCUUAACCCCGAGCCUGCUUCCGAUACGGGCAGACUAGAGGUAUGCAGGGGAGAACGGAAUUCCUGGUGUAGCGGUGAAAUGCGCAGAUAUCAGGAGGAACACCGGUGGCGAAGGCGGUUCUCUGGGCAUUACCUGACGCUGAGGCGCGAAAGCUAGGGGAGCAAACGGG
Molecule: ribosomal RNA, 253 nt
Filed under: uncultured bacterium
Lineage: Bacteria
Description: partial 16S ribosomal RNA
Rfam family: Bacterial small subunit ribosomal RNA
Source: RNAcentral